This 492-nucleotide ribosomal RNA is filed under the name uncultured bacterium. Its description in RNAcentral is "partial 16S ribosomal RNA". It matches the Rfam family "Bacterial small subunit ribosomal RNA", at positions 29 to 507 of the family's 1533-position model. The record is from RNAcentral.
AGUGAACGCUGGCGGUAGGCCUAACACAUGCAAGUCGAACGGCAGCACAGUAAGAGCUUGCUCUUACGGGUGGCGAGUGGCGGACGGGUGGGGAAUACAUCGGAAUCUACUUUUUCGCGGGGGAUAACGUAGGGAAACUUACGCUAAUACCGCAUACGACCUACGGGUGAAAGAAGGGGAUCUUCGGACCUUGCGCGAUUGAAUGAGCCGAUGUCGGAUUAGCUAGUUGGCGGGGUAAAGGCCCACCAAGGCGACGAUCCGUAGCUGGUCUGAGAGGAUGAUCAGCCACACUGGAACUGAGACACGGUCCAGACUCCUACGGGAGGCCGCAGUGGGGAAUAUUGGACAAUGGGCGCAAGCCUGAUCCAGCCAUACCGCGUGGGUGAAGAAGGCCUUCGGGUUGUAAAGCCCUUUUGUUGGGAAAGAAAAGCGGCAGGUUAAUACCCCGCUGUUCUGACGGUACCCAAAGAAUAAGCACCGGCUAACUUCGUG